RNAcentral lists this ribosomal RNA (544 nucleotides) under Enterococcus hirae. RNAcentral's name for it is "bacterial SSU rRNA". It matches the Rfam family "Bacterial small subunit ribosomal RNA", at positions 10 to 524 of the family's 1533-position model. Lineage: Bacteria; Bacillati; Bacillota; Bacilli; Lactobacillales; Enterococcaceae. The record is from RNAcentral.
AGUUUGAUCCUGGCUCAGGACGAACGCUGGCGGCGUGCCUAAUACAUGCAAGUCGAACGCUUCUUUUUCCACCGGAGCUUGCUCCACCGGAAAAAGAGNGAGUGGCGAACGGGUGAGUAACACGUGGGUAACCUGCCCAUCAGAAGGGGAUAACACUUGGAAACAGGUGCUAAUACCGUAUAACAAUCGAAACCGCAUGGUUUUGAUUUGAAAGGCGCUUUCGGGUGUCGCUGAUGGAUGGACCCGCGGUGCAUUAGCUAGUUGGUGAGGUAACGGCUCACCAAGGCGACGAUGCAUAGCCGACCUGAGAGGGUGAUCGGCCACAUUGGGACUGAGACACGGCCCAAACUCCUACGGGAGGCAGCAGUAGGGAAUCUUCGGCAAUGGACGAAAGUCUGACCGAGCAACGCCGCGUGAGUGAAGAAGGUUUUCGGAUCGUAAAACUCUGUUGUUAGAGAAGAACAAGGAUGAGAGUAACUGUUCAUCCCUUGACGGUAUCUAACCAGAAAGCCACGGCUAACUACGUGCCAGCAGCCGCGGUAAA